CCCAUAAUUUAACUUCUAAGUUCAUACUAAUUGUAUUAGGAUAAUUAUAUGAAAAUGUAGCCAUAUUAGAUACAAACGAGAAACCAGGAAUUGGUACCAGCAGGUUAACGAUUCCGGAUAUAAGUCUCUGAGUGCCACUAAUGCUUGAUUUAGACAUUAUAUGAUCCAUCAACAUAUCACAAUAGUCCUGGCGAAGAUAGGAUUUUGGUUUUUUGAAAAUCCGGUCCAUAAAAUGUUCGUAUUUCAUGAGUUUAUUCGAUAAGUAUAAUUUUAUUCUUUCUAGCUUUUCUUGAUUUUUAUUAUAAUCGAAGUAUUUAAUUCUUCUCGAUGACUUACAAAAACUAACUAACAUACAUUUCGUGUUGGUCGCGGAAACCAUUGUUGGCAAUAGUAACACCAUCGUGGAUAAGGUCGCUGGUGGAACUAAAGAUAAUGGUAUAUUAGCACCUACACCUGCUAUAACUGCGGAAUUCUGUUUAUUAAAAUCUUUAAAUAAUUUGUCACAUGAAGUGUUUUGAAAUGUAUGUAAUAUGAAUUCCGCAAAAGAAUCAUUUGAAAACAAUUUAGUUUUUUCUGUUGUAACUUCUUUCUUAUGAAAUUCUUUCAAUUUUAAAUUAAAAUUUUUUAUAUCUUCCAGUGUGCCAAAUUUACUGUGUUUCAACAAAUUGAAAAAUUUCUUUAAAAUUUUAGGAAUAUCUUGUUUUGCUUCCUUAAUAUCUAAAAUUAAAUUUUUAAACAAUAAUAUAGCUUCAGCAACUUUACAGUCCAUAUCAUUCGAGAUACCAAAUUCAUCCUCCUGCUUAUUUCCUAAUGUUAUAUUGUUUGAAUAUAUUAUUAUACUUAUUAAUAUUGACAUAAAUGAAAAUGAAAAAAUAUUAUCACAGAACCUACCUCUAACAUAUCCGAUUUUCAUGUUAAAAAAAGUUUUAAUUAUUAUAUAUAAGCAAGUAACUCUUACAAAAGCUAAAUUCAUUCAAUUUGAUAAAUUUUAAAUAUUACUGAUCAACUCGAAUACACUAAGAGUAUAUCUACUAUGUCAGUACAUUAAUUUCAAAACGUUUAUCAAAACAGUGACNA
Molecule: non-coding RNA, 1077 nt
Organism: Cinara cedri
Lineage: Eukaryota; Metazoa; Arthropoda; Insecta; Hemiptera; Aphididae
Source: the annotation of a GenBank genome assembly